UCAGAAAAAUUUUUUCUUUAAAUUCCAAAUUUAAUGUUUUAUUUCGUAAACUAUUUUCUG
Molecule: transfer RNA, 60 nt
Filed under: Colpocephalum spinicollis
Lineage: Eukaryota; Metazoa; Arthropoda; Insecta; Psocodea; Menoponidae
Description: tRNA-Pro
Source: RNAcentral